GGCCUAAUACUGCAAGUCGAACGGUAACAUUGGUGCUUGCACCAGAUGACGAGUGGCGCACGGGUGCGUAACGCGUAUGCAACCUACCUUUUACUAGAGUAUAGCCCAGAGAAAUUUGGAUUAAUCCUCUAUAACAUCUUUUAAUUUCAUGAUUAUAAGAUUAAAGUUUUAACGGUAAAAGAUGGGCAUGCGUCCUAUUAGUUUGUAGGUGAGGUAACGGCUCACCUAGACUACGAUAGGUAGGGGCCCUGAGAGGGGGAUCCCCCACACUGGUACUGAGACACGGACCAGACUCCUACGGGAGGCAGCAGUAAGGAAUAUUGGACAAUGGACGAAAGUCUGAUCCAGCCAUGCCGCGUGCAGGAUGACAGCCCUACGGGUUGUAAACUGCUUUUAUACAGGAAGAAACACUCCGACGUGUCGGAGCUUGACGGUACUGUAAGAAUAAGGAUCGGCUAACUCCGUGCCAGCAGCCGCGGUAAUACGGAGGAUCCAAGCGUUAUCCGGAAUCAUUGGGUUUAAAGGGUCCGCAGGCUGUUUUUUAAGUCAGAGGUGAAAUCCUACAGCUCAACUGUAGAACUGCCUUUGAUACUGGAAAACUUGAGUUAUUGUGAAGUGGUUAGAAUGUGUGGUGUAGCGGUGAAAUGCAUAGAUAUCACACAGAAUACCGAUUGCGAAGGCAGAUCACUAACAAUAUACUGACGCUCAUGGACGAAAGCGUGGGGAGCGAACAGGAUUAGAUACCCUGGUAGUCCACGCCGUAAACGAUGGAUACUAGCUGUUCGUCUAACAUUGGUUAGAUGAGUGGCUAAGCGAAAGUGAUAAGUAUCCCACCUGGGGAGUACGGUCGCAAGACUGAA
RNAcentral lists this ribosomal RNA (860 nucleotides) under uncultured Bacteroidota bacterium. Its description in RNAcentral is "bacterial SSU rRNA". It matches the Rfam family "Bacterial small subunit ribosomal RNA", at positions 45 to 898 of the family's 1533-position model. The record is from RNAcentral. Lineage: Bacteria; Pseudomonadati; Bacteroidota.